Molecule: transfer RNA, 85 nt
Rfam family: tRNA
About the family: Transfer RNA (tRNA) molecules are approximately 80 nucleotides in length. Their secondary structure includes four short double-helical elements and three loops (D, anti-codon, and T loops).
GCGGCCGUAGUCUAGCCUGGAUUUAAGACAGAUAGGAUACCGGCCUUCCGAGCCGGAGACCCGGGUUCAAAUCCCGGCGGCCGCA